GAACGAUGCUUUCGGGCAUAGUGGCGCACGGGUGCGUAACGCGUGGGAAUCUGCCCUUUGGUCUGGGAUAACUGUUGGAAACGACAGGUAAUACCGGAUGAUGACGUAAGUCCAAAGAUUUAUCGCCAGAGGAUGAGCCCGCGUCGGAUUAUCUAGUUGGUGGGGUAAAGGCCUACCAAGGCGACGAUCCGUAGCUGGUCUGAGAGGAUGAUCAGCCACACUGGUGACUGAGACGCGGUCCAGACUCCUAGCGGAGGCAGCAGUGGGGAAUAUUGGACAAUGGGCGAAAGCCUGAUCCAGCAAUGCCGCGUGAGUGAUGAAGGCCUUAGGGUUGUAAAUCUCUUUUACCCGGGAUGAUAAUUACAGUACCGGGAGAAUAAGCUCCGGUCUACUCCGUG
RNAcentral lists this ribosomal RNA (398 nucleotides) under uncultured bacterium. Its description in RNAcentral is "bacterial SSU rRNA". It matches the Rfam family "Bacterial small subunit ribosomal RNA", at positions 64 to 507 of the family's 1533-position model. The record is from RNAcentral.